AUACGUAGGGGGCGAGCGUUGUCCGGAAUGAUUGGGCGUAAAGGGCGCGUAGGCGGCCCGGUAAGUCUGGAGUGAAAGUCCUGCUUUUAAGGUGGGAAUUGCUUUGGAUACUGUCGGGCUUGAGUGCAGGAGAGGUAAGUGGAAUUCCCAGUGUAGCGGUGAAAUGCGUAGAGAUUGGGAGGAACACCAGUGGCGAAGGCGACUUACUGGACUGUAACUGACGCUGAGGCGCGAAAGUGUGGGGAGCAAACAGGAUUAGAUACCCUGGUAGUCCACACUGUAAACGAUGAAUGCUAGGUGUAGGGGGUAUCGACCCCUUCUGUGCCGCAGUUAACACAAUAAGCAUUCCGCCUGGGGAGUACGGCCGCAAGGUUGAAACUUAAAGGAAUUGACGGGGG
RNAcentral lists this ribosomal RNA (398 nucleotides) under uncultured bacterium. RNAcentral describes it as "partial 16S ribosomal RNA". It matches the Rfam family "Bacterial small subunit ribosomal RNA", at positions 523 to 919 of the family's 1533-position model. The record is from RNAcentral.